Molecule: ribosomal RNA, 509 nt
Filed under: Grylloblatta campodeiformis
Lineage: Eukaryota; Metazoa; Arthropoda; Insecta; Grylloblattodea; Grylloblattidae
Description: partial 16S ribosomal RNA
Rfam family: Bacterial large subunit ribosomal RNA
Source: RNAcentral
GUCUUCUUGUUUAUAUAUGAAGUCUGGUCUGCCCACUGAAGUUUGAAGGGCCGCGGUAUUUUGACCGUGCAAAGGUAGCAUAAUCAUUAGUCCUUUAAUUGGGGGCUGGAAUGAAGGGCUGCACGAGGUAUAGACUGUCUUAUUUGAAUUGUUAUUAGAAUUUAAUUUUUAAGUUAAAAAGCUUAAAUUUUUUUAAAGGACGAGAAGACCCUAUAGAACUUUAUAUAAAUACAAGUAAAUGGUCUUUGGUUGUUUUUAUAUUUAUUUGUGUUUGUAUUUUGUUGGGGUGAUAGGAAAAUAAAAUUAACUUUUUUUAUUAUUUUACAUUAAUUUAUGAUUAUUUGAUCCAUUUUUAGUGAUUAUAAGAUUAAGUUACCUUAGGGAUAACAGCGUAAUUUUCCUUUAGAGUUCUUAUCGACGGGAAAGCUUGCGACCUCGAUGUUGGAUUAAGAUUAAUUUUUGGUGUAGAAGCUGAAAUAUUAGGUCUGUUCGACCUUUAAAUUCUUACA